CCUACGGGAGGCAGCAGUGAGGAAUAUUGGUCAAUGGACGAGAGUCUGAACCAGCCAAGUAGCGUGAAGGAUGACUGCCCUAUGGGUUGUAAACUUCUUUUAUAUGGGAAUAAAACGUUCCACGUGUGGGAUUUUGUAUGUACCAUAUGAAUAAGGAUCGGCUAACUCCGUGCCAGCAGCCGCGGUAAUACGGAGGAUCCGAGCGUUAUCCGGAUUUAUUGGGUUUAAAGGGAGCGUAGGUGGAUUGUUUAGUCAGUUGUGAAAGUUUGCGGCUCAACCGUAAAAUUGCAGUUGAAACUGGCAGUCUUGAGUACAGUAGAGGUGGGCGGAAUUCGUGGUGUAGCGGUGAAAUGCUUAGAUAUCACGAAGAACUCCGAUUGCGAAGGCAGUUCACUGGACUGCAACUGACACUGAGGCUCGAAAGUGUGGGUAUCAAACAGGAUUAGAUACCCCGGUAGUC
RNAcentral lists this ribosomal RNA (460 nucleotides) under uncultured bacterium. RNAcentral describes it as "partial 16S ribosomal RNA". It matches the Rfam family "Bacterial small subunit ribosomal RNA", at positions 338 to 795 of the family's 1533-position model. The record is from RNAcentral.